RNAcentral lists this ribosomal RNA (418 nucleotides) under Odontobuthus doriae. RNAcentral describes it as "partial 12S ribosomal RNA". The record is from RNAcentral. Lineage: Eukaryota; Metazoa; Arthropoda; Arachnida; Scorpiones; Buthidae.
ACCGUAAAGGUAAAGAAACUUUAGUUUUAAAUGUUAAGGGAUAUGAGAAGGGAAAGAAAAUUUUAUUUUGAGGGUAAAAUCUUAAAUUAAAAGGUUUUUCUAAGAAUGGUCUUUAUAAUUUCUAAAGUGAAACUAGGAUUAGAUACCCUAUUAUUAUUGAAGAAAAUGCAAUUAGGUAGUAGUAGAUGUCUUGAAACUUAAAGAAUUUGGCGGUAUUUUAAUCUUACCAGAGGAACUUGUGUUGUAAUUCGAAAUUACCCGUUUCAUCCUACUUAAAUUUUGUUUGUAUAUCGUCGUAAAAAUAAAACUUUAAGGUGAAUAUUUUAAAUUAUUUUAUAGAAAAUUACAGAUCAAGGUUCAGCAUACUUAAGUAAACAUGAGUUACAAUUUCAAUGAGAAAAAAUGGAUACUUUUUUGA